AGCAGCCGCGGUAAUUCCAGCUCCAAUAGCGUAUAUUAAAGUUGUUGCAGUUAAAAAGCUCGUAGUUGAAUUUCGGGGUUCAUCCGUUGGUCGGGCUUUUUGGUCUGUACUGGCGUGAUGGAUUCCUACCUUCUGAAUAACCGGCAUGUCAUUAAUUUGGUGCGCCGGGGAAGCAGGACUGUUACCUUGAAAAAGUUAGAGUGCUUAAAGCAGGCUAUCGCCUGAAUACAUUAGCAUGGAAUAAUGAAAUAGGACGGCAUGGUUCUAUUUUGUCGGUUUCUAGGAUCACCGUAAUGAUUAAUAGGGAUAGUUGGGGGCAUUAGUAUUCAAUUGUCAGAGGUGAAAUUCUUGGAUUUAUUGAAGACUAACUUCUGCGAAAGCAUUUGCCAAGGAUGUUUUCAUUAAUCAAGAACGAAAGUUAGGGGAUCGAAGACGAUCAGAUACCGUCGUAGUCUUAACCAUAAACUAUGCCGACUAGGGAUCGGACGAUGUUAAUUUUUAAUGACUCGUUCGGCGCCUU
RNAcentral lists this ribosomal RNA (520 nucleotides) under uncultured Acaulospora. Its description in RNAcentral is "SSU rRNA". It matches the Rfam family "Eukaryotic small subunit ribosomal RNA", at positions 569 to 1089 of the family's 1831-position model. The record is from RNAcentral. Lineage: Eukaryota; Fungi; Glomeromycota; Glomeromycetes; Diversisporales; Acaulosporaceae.